ACCUUCUGGAAUCAGCGGCCUUCGGAAACUUCUAUCAUCCAGGAAGCUGUGGGGGGAAGUUGGAAGACACGGACGGGAACUUGAGAACCCACAAGCCAGGAGUAGAUAGAAGUUCAACAUUUAUUAAAGCUAUAAAAUCGACUAUUUCUUUAUAGUCGUUCCCAACCAGGAGCUCAUUUACUUAGAGCAUUAUUUUCUCCCUCCUUCCCACCCCGGCUCCGAGAAGAUGGUAGAGCCCACUUCCUUUUUUCAAAACUACCGGAGAUCUCGCGAUGGAGGGAGGAGGGACACCCCCAGAAACACUUAAAGAAGAAAGGCAGUCAGGAUGUGUUCCAUCUACAAGUCUUGAGGGCAACAGUUUGAAGAAAAGCAAUUGGGGGUUCUUAUUUACUGGCAUUGUUGGGGGGACGCUGGUGGCCGUGUACGCUGUGGCCACACCGUUUAUAACACCAGCCCUCCGAAGAAUCUGUUUGCCUUUUGUACCUGCAACUGCAAAGCAGAUUGAAAAUGUUGUGAAAAUGUUGCGAUGCAGGAGAGGACCCCUGGUAGACAUCGGUAGUGGCGACGGGCGUAUCGUAAUAGCAGCUGCAAAGGAAGGAUUCACAGCUGUGGGUUAUGAAUUAAACCCCUGGCUCGUCUGGUACUCCAGAUACUGCGCUCGGCGGGAAGGGGUGCAAGCAUCGGCCAAGUUUUACAUCUCAGACUUGUGGAAGGUCACUUUUUCGCAGUACUCAAAUGUUGUUAUCUUUGGUGUGCCCCAGAUGGCGUCUCCCCGCACUUGCUUACCCAUUGUAAAGGAGCAGUAGUAACCACACUGUGCAGACACCAGAAAACUCCUUGACCGAGUGGUACGUCACCCUCAAAGCAGGAGGACCCCGUGGGCUCGGGACCGUGGAGCCCUGCGAAGUUCACAGCCCCGCUCGUGGGGCGUUGCCAAGGACACAAGCGCCAAGUCAUCAUGAGCGCGUGUCAGAGGGACGCCCGGUGCUGUUGAUUUUAAGAUGUACCAUUGCUGUUGGGAAAGAAAAAAAAAUGUUGCCAAUUAUAAUUCUAAGACAAUGUCAAUUGUAAGAUGUAUCCUGAUUUCAGACAUGUUAAAAACGUGGAAAAAGAUACGUAAUUCAGACAGGGUAGAUUGAAAUGUUUAGGGAUGCAGAUACAAAAGGACAUUGAGAAAUCAUUUCCUCCGACUACCCGCUCACUGAAAUGGUGGCUGUCGUUCUCCACAGAUGCUGCAGUUGGAGAAGAAGCUUGAGCUUGAACUUGAGGACGAGGCUAGAGUCAUUGCUUGCCGGUUCCCCUUCCCACACUGGACCCCGGCCCAGGUCACGGGGGAGGGGAUAGACACCGUGUGGGCCUACGAUGCCAGUUCUUUCAGGAGGAGUAAGAAAAGG
Balaenoptera ricei (Rice's whale) is the source of this 1394-nucleotide RNA transcript. It is a transcript of the gene named ATP synthase c subunit lysine N-methyltransferase, with no coding region annotated. The record is from RefSeq and is a predicted model, not a curated record. NCBI's taxonomy places the organism in Eukaryota, Metazoa, Chordata, Mammalia, Artiodactyla, Balaenopteridae. The transcript has 7 exons.